RNAcentral lists this ribosomal RNA (62 nucleotides) under Verrucomicrobiales bacterium. RNAcentral's name for it is "partial 16S ribosomal RNA". It matches the Rfam family "Bacterial small subunit ribosomal RNA", at positions 1 to 62 of the family's 1533-position model. Lineage: Bacteria; Pseudomonadati; Verrucomicrobiota; Verrucomicrobiia; Verrucomicrobiales. The record is from RNAcentral.
UAUUCGAAGAGUUUGAUUCUGGCUCAGAACGAACGCUGGCGGCGUGGAUAAGACAUGCAAGU